CACGUAGUUAGCAAGCUCUUAUUCCUAUGGUACCGUCAUAAUCUUCCCAUAGAAAAGCAGUUUACAACCCGAAGGCCGUCUUCCUGCACGCGGCAUUGCUGCGUCAGACUUUCGUCCAUUGCGCAAAUUCCUC
This 133-nucleotide ribosomal RNA is filed under the name uncultured bacterium. RNAcentral describes it as "partial 16S ribosomal RNA". The record is from RNAcentral.